This 301-nucleotide ribosomal RNA is filed under the name uncultured bacterium. RNAcentral describes it as "partial 16S ribosomal RNA". It matches the Rfam family "Bacterial small subunit ribosomal RNA", at positions 509 to 807 of the family's 1533-position model. The record is from RNAcentral.
CAGCCGCCGCGGUAAUACGAAGGGUGCAAGCGUUAAUCGGAAUUACUGGGCGUAAAGCGUGCGUAGGUGGUGGUUUAAGUCCGUUGUGAAAGCCCUGGGCUCAACCUGGGAAUUGCAGUGGAUACUGGGUCACUAGAGUGUGGUAGAGGAUAGUGGAAUUUCCGGUGUAGCAGUGAAAUGCGUAGAGAUCGGAAGGAACAUCUGUGGCGAAGGCGACUAUCUGGGCCAACACUGACACUGAGGCACGAAAGCGUGGGGAGCAAACAGGAUUAGAUACCCGCGUAGUCCCUGUCUCUUAUAC